Long non-coding RNA from Diceros bicornis minor, 491 nucleotides. RefSeq lists it as uncharacterized. The transcript is spliced from 3 exons. The record is from RefSeq and is a predicted model, not a curated record. Lineage: Eukaryota; Metazoa; Chordata; Mammalia; Perissodactyla; Rhinocerotidae.
CCCACAUAAUCUUUCCUUAUGGAUCUUGUUGAAAUUCUCCCCUCCCACUCUGUGUGUUCAUUGACAUGUCUUGAUAUUUUGUCUCUUCAUCAGCUACUGUUCCCCUCCCCUGCAGAUCAGGGGCUGUAAUGUCUGACGAGCAGGGAAUGGCGAAUGGGAUCCAGAGAAUGUCUUGAAGAAGCAAUGAUCUCAACCCUAAAUUUAUCGAACUUCCACUUGUGGACCAUCUUCUACAGUUCUCUCUGCAUAGAGCCUGGCGGAUGAGGAAACUGAAGCAAAAGGUUGUUAAAUAAAUGGCAGAGCCGGGAUUCAAAACUAGGUCAUCUGGUUCCAGAGCCUGUGCUUGUCCGCUGUACAAUAAUCCCUCUGGUGUUCAGUACCUACCUCUGGGGCUCUUGAGAGGAGUAAAAUGAUAAUGUGCAUCAAGCACCAAGAACAAGCACAUGAUUAAAAGUGGAGGAGAAUGGUGUCCCAAGAGGGCCAGAGUCAGG